Small nucleolar RNA from Mus caroli (Ryukyu mouse), 132 nucleotides. RefSeq annotates it as small nucleolar RNA SNORA17. The record is from RefSeq and is a predicted model, not a curated record. NCBI's taxonomy places the organism in Eukaryota, Metazoa, Chordata, Mammalia, Rodentia, Muridae.
UCUGCCCCUAGAGGCAUGGCAGGUGUGGCUGCUGUGUCACAUGUGCGUCAGUAGGUGGCAGAGAGGAGAGAAGCUAUGCCUGCGCUCAGUAUUCUGACCUGUGGACAUCGGAAUGAUGCCUAACAUCCCCUG